UCAUUUUGCCACAAUUUAUGCAAUAGAUAUCUUGUUUUCAUUUGAAGAAAUGAAGAUGGCGGCACCAGGACUGUCCUGUCAAGCAUUUUUAAGAAUUCUGGAUCAGCGAACUGUCUGCUUUGGUUGUGCUGGCAAGAUCUCAGGAGACAGUUUUCAGAAAUGUUUUUUGAGUGGGAGGCUGUGCGAUUCAAGGUGGACAAUAUAUUCAAAUCUGAGGAACCGGACAUCUUUGAAGGCAUCUUCAUAGCUAAGGAUGAGGAUAUUACCAAACUUGUAAAAUUGUAGAUGAUAAUUACACUAUAGGACUACAAUAUCCUCUUAUUGAAUAGUUUGUGUAGGAAAGUCUUAUUUUCACCAUUUUCCAUAUUGUAGGUCAGUGGAAGAGGUGUUUGUGGAAGGGAGUGGUCAGCAGCCAGAGAGACCUCCCAAAAACUGCAAGCAACAUAGACGAGGAGGGAUUGGAGUUGUGGUGAAAUGGAGUAUGGCAUAUCAGGAUGGUUGUGGAUUAACACUAGGAGAGGAGGUGGAACAGUGCAAUGCCUUCCUCUCAAGGAUUCCAGUGACCACAAAACACAUUUCAAAAGCAGGACGCGCAGACAUGCUGACUCUCAUGGCCAUGCACUGACAUCAGCAAACGUUUAACAAUUUAGCCAUCUCAAAUACUCGCCGAUAUCAGAAGAUUCGCCAAGCAAGAGACUGUUACCUACAAGUUUUGUCGGAAGUCGAGAACAUCAACUUCUUGUACAGUGCUUCAGCUGAUGAGUACGACAGUGACUUUGACUUUCUGGUGAUGGUCUGUAAUCCACAAGACUGUGAUACCUUCCAUUAUUCUGGAGAAAGAUUUCUAACUGUCAAUAUAAAGCAAUUAAUAAAAUCUACUUUUCAUAA
Non-coding RNA from Misgurnus anguillicaudatus (oriental weatherfish), 888 nucleotides. Lineage: Eukaryota; Metazoa; Chordata; Actinopteri; Cypriniformes; Cobitidae. The record is from RefSeq and is a predicted model, not a curated record.